RNAcentral lists this long non-coding RNA (3245 nucleotides) under Equus caballus (horse). Its description in RNAcentral is "lncRNA (ENSECAG00000045945.1)". The record is from RNAcentral. Lineage: Eukaryota; Metazoa; Chordata; Mammalia; Perissodactyla; Equidae.
GUCUCGUGUCCCCUAUGUGCCUUCUCCCACACCACCUUAGGGUCAGCAUAGCGGUGGGACAGGAGGUCACAGUGGACACUGAUGGACAUGCUGUGAGAAAAUAUGGCUCCCUUGUCAAGUUAAGACGUUUAUUCUGCCAACAGGGUUUUACUUUCCAUUUUCCCAGGGAACUGAGUGUUUGUCUGCAGGUGAAGUCAGAGGGUUGAUCUCUGUGUGUUGUGACACACAAGAGGUGACAUGACACUUGGUAGGAGGAGAGGACUCUGAUCCUGUUUUAUGGCUAGUUCGUGUGCUGUCCUCUCAAAAGGGUGGAAAGAAUGUGCAAAUGUGGGCACUCCCGUACCAUUUGAAUGAUCUCCUCUAGACCCCGCGGGAUUCGAGUUUGCCCUCUCAGUCCAUCGUGCUGACUCCAGGAGCACAGUGUGUGGAUUCCCGAGGGUGGCCGGUCAGGCCAGCUCCACGUUGAUAUUUGCCUUGGCCUUCUGAGCUUCCCUUGCCUCUCCUUCUUCAUGCGCAGACCUAGCGUGCUGCUGCUUCUCCACUUCAGAGAACAGCCGUGGGCGCUGUGCAGUGAAUCCUGGGGGGAGUCACUGCCUUUCUCAGUGUCCCCCAGCAGUCAGACACAGCGGCCUUCCAGAGUGCCGAAAGGCCCGUGGUCGAGCCAGCUCUCGGAUCAACUGGGGGACUGUUGUCGUGGGGGCGUUGCUGAGCUGCCGUGUGUGAAAUAUGGUUAAAGCCGGGGACCACGCAGCUGGGCCACUUCUCCAGAGCCCAGGAGAGAUGGGCUGGGUACUGAAAGAUUUGCUACGUGUGUCCAUUCUAUGUUGUCUUCUUAUUACACAAAAUAAUAAUAAUGGUAAUUAUUAUUAUUAUUAUUAUUAGAGGGUGGAAGGAAACUUUGGAGGGGAUGGGUCUGUUUAUGGCACAGGUUUUGGUAAUGGUUCACAGAUGUCUACCUAUUUCCACAGUCUUUAAAUCAUAUACAUUAAAUAUGUACAGCUCUUUUGGGUCAUUCUUUCCUUCAUCCCUCAAGAAAGUGGUUUCAGAAAAUAAUAUUAAAGGCCCUCCCCUGACUACAGAUGAGCGCUCCCUCUCAAAUGUCUUUAGCUUUAGGACUGAAGGGAAGACUGCUUCUCCAUGGUUAAAGGGGUAACGGCGUUGACUGCGUGUGGAUUCUUUUGGGCCUUGGACUUUCCACUUAUAUGGAGCCUUAGCAUUGGCCGUGUGUAAGGAUAACUUUUAGUCCACAGGGUGUUGACUUUCCUAGACUCACAGCGGUUCUCCAGAACCCAUGAACUUCACCUGAAGGACUUCGACUCAGAGAUGGGGCCUGUGACAUCAGCUACUUGUCAUGUGACCAGAAAUUGAUGUCGGGGUACUGUGACUUUGGCAUUAGGUUGGACUUUGGGUUGUUUUCCUUGUUUACAACGUGUGCUUUUGUGCUUACUCAAGAAAUCUUUUGAAAUACUGUACAUGUGGAGACGUGUCCAGAUGUGUCUGUCCUGUCCGUGUAUUCUACAGGGUGACCGCCGAGGUCUCAGGCUGAGUAGCCUUUCCAGUAGGAGCCUUUUCUCGGAGACCUUCCCUCACCCUCUGUUUACUGUGUGACUGAGUUCCCUGGCCAUACCAACUCGGUGUGAUACUUUUCUGCUAUCCUCAUUGCUGUGUCUUUACAAUGUGUUUGCUGCUUCUGUUUCUUGCAUUUUAAAGAACCCUUGUGUUCUCCCAAUAAAAUUCACUUGUUUCAGAAGAUUCCACUUGUCGAUUGUUUUCUUCGCAGUCAACACCCUCAGGUCAAGGGAGCUGCGGCUGUGCCAUGUGCAUCAUCACUUGCACCGGGGCAGAGCUCUGUGCCAUAGAUCCUGAGGCAUCAAGGACAGGGGCCUGGUGGCAGGGGAAGGGGCUCUCCAGGCCCUGAUGGAAGUUCUCCCCUUUGUUAAGCUGGCCCCUGUGUUUAGAGACGUACUCCCCUACAGGUGGUGGGUAAUCUAAUGCCUCCCCUUAUGGGGUGAUCCUUUGAGCCACUUCUUGAAGGCCAUCAGCACAGAUGUGGGGACUGUGGAGUAAGGGUGGGAGGUCUUCUGAUAGGUCCAGGGGUAAGGCGGGGUAGGGUAGUCAGCAUGCUUCUAGAGAAGGUCCGUUCAGAAGUGGUUGGGUCUUUGGGUCUGGUUCCCUUCCUGGGAUUUCAUACACGUCUUGGGCUGCAGGUGUCAGCAAGUGUUCUUGCCAUCCAGUCUACAGGGACCCAAGCUGCAAUGUCCCAUUUGUAACGGGAGUUCAUCGUUACGCAAAGUUCAAAUCACUUCUCUUUGUCCUCACUGCAACUGAACCUUUAUCGAUAUCCCUUUUCUUACCCUCUCUGGUUACCGAAUGAGUCUCACGUUCGAAUGUGACCAUUUCCCCUUUUGGCCUUAGUUCAGGUUAGCGGUAUGACGCUACCAGAGACAUUGGCUUUUCCUCUUUGCCAAAGACCAGCAAAUCACAUUGCUGCUCUGAUGGCGAGGUUCCCAGUUGACACCGGGAGUUCAUUUCCUCAGAGGGGGUCCGGGUUGGUGAGGGCGGGGCCGUGGGCGGUACCCAGCAACUGCGCAGUCUCUGCCCACAAAGGCUGUGGUCGCUCCAGCGCAGGCGCAGUAGGUACCCAAGGCAGUGGACGAGCGAGACGCCGGCGUGGCUCUAAUGCCUGUUGGUGGAGGCCGGUCCAGAAUCGCGGGAGGCGUGGCCAGAAUCGGAGGGGAGGUGCUGAGGGUUUUCAGGAGGGGCGGUGGAUGAGGACUGGGUCACAGGAGAAGACGUCAGGCCACUGGGCUCCAUAUGCAUGGUGAAGGCGGGGGCUGCAGGGAGUGAAGUGGGGAGGAUCCAAGUGCUCAGGCGCUGAGGCGUCCGCGUGGUGCCCCCCCUCCCUGUCCACCACCCACCUGUACUUCUGACAUCCUCAGUCAACGUUGGCCUCCGGAUGCCCCUUCUGGGAGGUUUUGUGAACACAUUUUCCUGCUCAUUCAUGCGUCUGUCACCCAAGAUUUUUGGCCCACAGGCCACAGAUACUGCCUCCAAGAUUAUUGGGAAGGCCCCAAACAUCAGCCCACAUAAUUCACAGCAGCACAUUCAACGAAGAAUGCACCAUGGCCAGGGAACGUCAGGGGAGUUCAAUGCUAAGAAAUGUAUUCACUCACUGCGUUCAGAGAGAGAAAGAGGAUAUCAUGCAAUCACCUCCAUAGAUGUUGAAAAGAUGAAAAUCAGAGGAG